RNAcentral lists this long non-coding RNA (672 nucleotides) under Hordeum vulgare. RNAcentral's name for it is "long non-coding RNA (HVUL_LNC004813)". The record is from RNAcentral. Lineage: Eukaryota; Viridiplantae; Streptophyta; Magnoliopsida; Poales; Poaceae.
UCCCGGCUCUUUUUGGACACACGCUCGCGCGUACGCGUGUGCUAGCUAGCUGCAUCGCGGAUCGAUCAGCAGCAGCUGGCUAGCCGAAGAAGUGGUGCUUCUUCUUCCCCUCGCCGCGGCCGGACUCCUCGUCCUCGGCGUCCUCCGCCGACUCCUUGUACUCCUUCUUCUCGUGGUGCUCGUGGAACGCGUACCCGCCGCUGCCAAUGGCCGCCACCGCCGCCACUUCCUCCUCGAUCUUAUGCCGGUGCGCGUUCUCCGGGUCCUUCUUCACCUGGUGCUUCUCGUACUACACACAUGCACACACUGGCCGUUAAUUCGCACCAUCAAUCAACGAUAGAAACUUGCGUUCGUGCGCCUAAACAUGUUUGCGCGACGAAUUAUCGUUCGGGAGGUACGUACCAUGGCGAAGGCGCCGGAGGCGAGGGCACCUAUCUCGCCGAGGUGCUCCUUGUGCUUGUGCUCCUUCUCCUCCUUCCGGUACUUCUCAGUCUCGCCCCGGGACGACCCGUACUCCUGGUCGUCGCCGCCAGAUUUUUUGUACCCGCCGCCGAUGUACUCGUCGUCGCCACCGGACUUCUUGUAUCCGCCGCCGCUGUACUCGUCGUCGCCACCGGACUUCUUGUAUCCGCCGCUGCUGUACUCAUCCUCGCCGCUGGACUUCUUGUACCC